This 24-nucleotide microRNA is filed under the name Apis mellifera (honey bee). RNAcentral describes it as "ame-miR-3760-5p". The record is from miRBase by way of RNAcentral. Lineage: Eukaryota; Metazoa; Arthropoda; Insecta; Hymenoptera; Apidae.
AAUCAUAUGAAUAAUCAUUUCUAG